This is a long non-coding RNA of Rosa rugosa (rugosa rose), 548 nucleotides long. RefSeq lists it as uncharacterized. NCBI's taxonomy places the organism in Eukaryota, Viridiplantae, Streptophyta, Magnoliopsida, Rosales, Rosaceae. The record is from RefSeq and is a predicted model, not a curated record. The transcript is spliced from 3 exons.
UUGACGUCGAAAUCGAGCCUUGCCGGAUUCUGCAAAAUUCUGGAAUUUUUCCGACCACCGAAGCUUUCGAUCGGUAUAUCUCGAGCUACAGACCAUAUUUUUCUGUGAUUCUUGAACCAGUGAGUUCUUCUUGAGUUUCUUAACAACUCUUCAGAAAGAAUCGAAGCCUUAAAUUGACGUUUUUACGUCGAACUGGAACUCGCCGUUUUCUGCAGUUUCUCGCCGGUUUCUGGAACAUUCCGGCCACCUUCAUACUGUUCAAGGUGAUCGACAGUUUGAUUUGGCGGACGAUUCGUGAAAUUGUAUUUUGAGCUGUUAAGAAGACGCAGCGGGAAUUUAGAGCGGGUAAUCUUACAGGACAGGAGAACCAGGACGGUGAUCGUGCGGUUAGAGCAAUGAUUAUAGUUUUACAGCAAUUGUAAUAGUGAGGCGAGUUAAGCUCAUUUGAGCCUUACAAUUUGAUUUGGUGGGAGUGUGCUGUAAUAAAUAACUUGAGGAAUUGGGUUAUUGUAAAUUUGAGAGUUGUGAAGUGUGGUUGUUUGUGAGAA